GUUCAGCACUAAGUCACUUUGUCUUUAUGGCAAAUGUGAGAUGCAGUGUAUGGAAUGUCAAAUUUCUAGUAUGAGAAAUUAACGAUUUAAGUCCUUCUUAAAUGAGGCCAUUUACCCACAGAGGGUGCCAGGCCCGUAUAACGUUAAUGAUUACUAGAUGGCAUUUCCAAAGAGUCGUGUUGCUUGAUAGUGCAGCACUAAGUGGGUGGUAAACUCCAUCUAAAACUAAAUAUAACCAUGAGACCGAUAGUAAACAAGUACCGUGAGGGAAAGUUGAAAAGAACUCUGAAUAGAGAGUUAAAUAGUACGUGAAACUGCUUAGAGGUUAAGCCCGAUGAACCUGAAUAUCCAUUAUAGAAAAUUCAUCAUUAUGAUUUUAAUAUUUAUAAUAUUAUAAUAAUAGUGUGCAUUUUUUCUAUAGCGGACAUUGUAAUCUAUUAACAUUAUAUUUAUCAUAAGAUCGAUGGUGCACAUGUUUAUUCGAAUUAUUUUGCUUGCAAUUUAACAUAGAAUAAAUGCUCUCGAUUGGAUAAAGUGUUGAUAGAUUUAUUGUAUAUAGUGCUUAAAUAUUUAUAUUUUAUAAUAGCAUAUUAAUCAUUGAUUUUUAUGUUUAUUAUAUGCACUUAUAUGAUUAACAAUGCGAAAGAUUCAGGAUACCUUCGGGACCCGUCUUGAAACACGGACCAAGGAGUCUAACAUAUUUGCAAGUUAUUGGGUAUCAAAACCUAAUAGCGAAAUUAACAUAACUUUUAUGGGAUUAGUUUUUAGAUUAUUUAUAGUCUAUUAAUUCAAUCCCGGGGCGUUCUAUAUAGUUAUGUAUAAUAAUAUUUAUAUUAUUUAUACCUCUAACUAGAGCGUACCUUGAGCAUAUAUGCUGUGACCCGAAAGAUGGUGAACUAUACUUGAU
Molecule: ribosomal RNA, 907 nt
Filed under: Argoravinia rufiventris
Lineage: Eukaryota; Metazoa; Arthropoda; Insecta; Diptera; Sarcophagidae
Description: eukaryotic LSU rRNA
Rfam family: Eukaryotic large subunit ribosomal RNA
Source: RNAcentral